GUACGGACCUCAGAUCAGGCAAGGCUACCCGCUGAGUUUAA
This 41-nucleotide ribosomal RNA is filed under the name Ceratopteris thalictroides. RNAcentral describes it as "partial 28S ribosomal RNA". The record is from RNAcentral. Lineage: Eukaryota; Viridiplantae; Streptophyta; Polypodiopsida; Polypodiales; Pteridaceae.